CAGCCGCCGCGGUAAUACCGGCGGCCCGAGUGGCGGUCACUAUUAUUGGGCUUAAAGCGUCCGUAGCCGGGUUGGGAAGUCCUCCGGGAAAUCUGGCCGCUUAACGGUCAGAAUGCCGGAGGAUACUCCCAGCCUAGGGAGCGGGAGAGGCCGAGGGUAUUCCCGGAGUAGGGGGGAAAUCCUAUAAUCCCGGGAGGACCACCUGUGGGGAAGGCGCUCGGCUGGAACGCGUCCGACGGUGAGGGACGAAGGCCAGGGGAGCAAACCGGAUUAGAUACCCGGGUAGUCCUAGCUGUAAACGAUGCGGACUUUGUGUCGGACAAGCUAUGAGCUUGUCCGGUGCCGGAGGGAAACCGUUAAGUCCGCCGCCUGGGGAGUACGGCCGCAAGGCUGAAACUUAAAGGAAUUGGCGGG
This 414-nucleotide ribosomal RNA is filed under the name uncultured microorganism. Its description in RNAcentral is "bacterial SSU rRNA". It matches the Rfam family "Archaeal small subunit ribosomal RNA", at positions 459 to 872 of the family's 1478-position model. The record is from RNAcentral.